UGUUGGUAACCUCUGGCAUAUCCAG
Molecule: non-coding RNA, 25 nt
Filed under: Mus musculus (house mouse)
Lineage: Eukaryota; Metazoa; Chordata; Mammalia; Rodentia; Muridae
Source: RNAcentral